Molecule: ribosomal RNA, 386 nt
Filed under: uncultured bacterium
Lineage: Bacteria
Description: bacterial SSU rRNA
Rfam family: Bacterial small subunit ribosomal RNA
Source: RNAcentral
AUUGAACGCUGGCGGCAUGCCUUACACACGCAAGUCGAACGGCAGCACGGGGCAACCUGGUGGCGAGUGGCGAACGGGUGAGUAAUGCAUCGGAACGUGCCAUUGAGUGGGGGAUAACGUAGCGAAAGUUGCGCUAAUACCGCAUAUUCUGUGAGCAGGAAAGCAGGGGACCGCAAAGGCCUUGCGCUCUUUGAGCGGCCGAUGUCAGAUUAGCUAGUUGGUGAGGUAACGGCUUACCAAGGCGACGAUCUGUAGCGGGUCUGAGAGGAUGAUCCGCCACACUGGAACUGAGACACGGUCCAGACUCCUACGGGAGGCAGCAGUGGGGAAUUUUGGACAAUGGGCGCAAGCCUGAUCCAGCCAUGCCGCGUGAGUGAAGAAGGCCU